RNAcentral lists this ribosomal RNA (242 nucleotides) under uncultured bacterium. Its description in RNAcentral is "partial 16S ribosomal RNA". It matches the Rfam family "Bacterial small subunit ribosomal RNA", at positions 29 to 252 of the family's 1533-position model. The record is from RNAcentral.
AGCGAACGUUAGCGGCGGGCCUAACACAUGCAAGUCGAACGAGAAUGAGGGGCGAACUCCUCUAGUAAAGUAGGCGGACGGGUGCGUAACACGUAGGUAAUCUACCUUCCGGCGGGGACGAACAGUCCGAAGGAUUGCUAAUACCGCAUACGUCGGCGAGAUCUCCGGAUCUUGUCGGGAAAGAUGGCCUCUCCUUGGAAGCUGUCUCCGGAAGAUGAACCUGCGGCCCAUCAGCUUGUUGG